GCUUUUAUGGUCGACAAUAAUGGCGUAAGUCAUUGAAAAUGAAGGUUAUAUUUGUGAUAUAAAAGUGAGGGUUCGAAUCCCUCCCUCACCGCCA
RNAcentral lists this transfer RNA (94 nucleotides) under Aeromonas sp. FDAARGOS 1415. RNAcentral describes it as "tRNA-Thr". It matches the Rfam family "tRNA", at positions 9 to 71 of the family's 71-position model. From Rfam's summary of the family: Transfer RNA (tRNA) molecules are approximately 80 nucleotides in length. Lineage: Bacteria; Pseudomonadati; Pseudomonadota; Gammaproteobacteria; Aeromonadales; Aeromonadaceae. The record is from RNAcentral.